UCGCUUAGCUGGACAGACAGGUACAAGAGUUUGCUUGUGGGAGAACAUCUGAGCAUAACGGUUACCCCUAAAAGUCCAUACGUUGACAAGAUUACACACUACAAUUAUGUGAUACUUCAGACUUUAGAUAAAGAUGAGCCUGGCUGUGGAAUAGGUGGUGGCAGCAAUAAUGCUGAAGUGUGCUACUGAGCAGGACUCACUGUCCUCACCAAUGGAGAUGCAGAUGGCGCCCAACAAGAUGAUGGAUCAUUUAAGAAAAUUCUCCAAUCAAGAAGAAAUUUGAAAGAGAAAAUUGAAAAUCUAGGUGGUUCAAAGAUUUUUGUUGUUUUCAGAGUUAUAAUGGAAUAACUCAGGAUCUGCUGCAUUCUAACCGAUUGAUGUAGGGCAGUUGAAAAAGAUCUGUGGGCACUUCCAACUUUUACUUUCCACAGGGGUAAAGCAGAAUGAUAAAUUAAUCACUAGUUAUUUAGCACAGUCUUGAUCUAAAGGAAAUAGGUUACCAGUAUGGCCUUUC
Molecule: long non-coding RNA, 514 nt
Filed under: Bos mutus (wild yak)
Lineage: Eukaryota; Metazoa; Chordata; Mammalia; Artiodactyla; Bovidae
Description: lncRNA (ENSBMUG00000016187.1)
Source: RNAcentral